RNAcentral lists this long non-coding RNA (539 nucleotides) under Salmo salar (Atlantic salmon). Its description in RNAcentral is "lncRNA (ENSSSAG00000105796.1)". Lineage: Eukaryota; Metazoa; Chordata; Actinopteri; Salmoniformes; Salmonidae. The record is from RNAcentral.
GUAGAUAUGUAUAGGGGACAGGGAUACUGGAGUGAUAGAGGUAGAUAUGUAUAGGGGGAAGGGGACAGGGAUACUGGAGUGAUGGAGGUAGAUAUGUAUAGGGGGAAGGGGACAGGGAUACUGGAGUGAUGGAGGUAGAUAUGUAUAGGGGUAAGGGGACAGGGAUACUGGAGUGAUGGAGGUAGAUAUGUAUAGGGGGAAGGGGACAGGGAUACUGGAGUGAUGGAGGUAGAUAUGUAUAGGGGGAAGGUGACUAUAUACAGGGUCAGUACCAUAUUAACAAUGUACAGGGAUACUGGAGGGAUGGAGGUAGAUAUGUAUAGGGGUAAGGUGACUAUAUACAGGGUCAGUACCAUAUUAACAAUGUACAAGGAUACUGGAGUGAUGGAGGUAGAUAUGUAUAGGGGGAAGGGGACAGGGAUACUGGAGUGAUGGAGGUAGAUAUGUAUAGGGGUAAGGUGACUAUAUACAGGGUCAGUACCAUAUUAACAAUGUACAGGGAUACUGGAGUGAUGGAGGUAGAUAUGUAUAGGGGUAAG